UACGAAGGGGGCAAGCGUUGUUCGGAAUUACUGGGCGUAAAGGGCGCGUAGGCGGCUUAUCAAGUCAGGCGUGAAAUUCCCGGGCUCAACCUGGGGGAUGCGCUUGAUACUGAUGAGCUUGAAUGCGGGAGAGGAUAGUGGAAUUCCCAGUGUAGAGGUGAAAUUCGUAGAUAUUGGGAAGAACACCGGUGGCGAAGGCGGCUAUCUGGCCCGUAAUUGACGCUGAGGCGCGAAAGCGUGGGGAGCAAACAGG
Molecule: ribosomal RNA, 253 nt
Filed under: uncultured bacterium
Lineage: Bacteria
Description: partial 16S ribosomal RNA
Rfam family: Bacterial small subunit ribosomal RNA
Source: RNAcentral